CCUACGGGUGGCAGCAGUGGGGAAUAUUGCGCAAUGGGCGAAAGCCUGACGCAGCGACGCCGCGUGAGGGAUGAAGGUCUUCGGAUCGUAAACCUCUGUCAGCGGGGAAGAACGGUCACUGUGCUAAUCAGCAGUGAAUUGACGGUACCUGCAAAGGAAGCCCCGGCUAACUCCGUGCCAGCAGCCGCGGUAAUACGGAGGGUGCGAGCGUUAAUCGGAAUUACUGGGCGUAAAGCGCUCGUAGGCGGUAUUGCAAGUCAAGGGUGAAAUCCCCGCGCUCAACGUGGGAACUGCCUUUGAAACUGGCAGACUGGAGUGUGGGAGAGGGUAGUGGAAUUCCAGGUGUAGGAGUGAAAUCCGUAGAUAUCUGGAGGAACAUCAGUGGCGAAGGCGACUAUCUGGCACAUAACUGACGCUGAGGAGCGAAAGCGUGGGUAGCAAAUAGGAUUAGAUACCCCGGUAGUC
Molecule: ribosomal RNA, 465 nt
Filed under: uncultured bacterium
Lineage: Bacteria
Description: partial 16S ribosomal RNA
Rfam family: Bacterial small subunit ribosomal RNA
Source: RNAcentral